GGGAAAUCCUGGCAGUGUCAAAGCCGGUGCCAAAACCUCCCUGAUUGCAGCAAUGCCGGGAUCUCACCAGAUGUCUGGAUUGUUUAUCCAUCUGGGGGUUUCUUGCCCGGGUUGUUUGCUGGCCGGCCUUGACCUUCCAGGGGAGCCAGGGCUCCUCUUCCACCCCCGCAGGAGAAGGGCUGUUUCUGACGCAGCUCCGGCCCCCAGCCCCAUCUCUGGCUGACGUAUCUCUGGCGUUUUCAGCGUGUGACAUCCAGAGAGGAAGAGAAGUGUCUCAUCCGGCUGUGGCUGUCCUUGCCUUUCCGCUCCUGCCACCCAGACCUGGCACUGGGCUCCCCAGCGACCAUCUGCCUCCCGCUCUGGAGGGAGCGCUGCUCCACGGAGCGCCCAGACAGACAGACCUAUGCGAAAAGAUGGUGCGAGCCUCGAGGAACCUAGUUGUUAAGGAGAGACAGGAAUAUGCAAGUAAUUUAAUUUUUCAUGCAAAACUCUGCUAGGAACUACUAGACUUUCCAAAAUGUAUUCCAAAGAAAUGCAGAGAUAGAUUCCCGACCGGCAUUAAUCAGUGCUGAUUAAGUCAUGAAGCUACCCAAUUUCUGCCUGGUGCUUGUUUGAGGCUUUGGGUCUUGGAACACACCAGGACUAGGACUGCACUGCGACUGUGUCCCUGUCCCUACAACCUGCCACUGUCAGGAGAAGCUGUUUACUGCAGGAGAGGUGGAGCUGCCUCUACAGUGAUACAAGGAGAUAGGGUUAGCACAAGCCAAGUAAAAACACGUUGCACUAAUGGUGCAGAGGUUUGAGAGAGUGUGCAAAGCACAGGCUCCUGGGAAAUGGACAUUGUCACAUGUGGCUCGUUAGCACACUGAAGCUUUGACCUAGCAAAUAUUUACAUGCACUUAAGUGCACAUUUGAAAGGGCUAAAUAUACACCUGCUCCCUGCUUCAGCUGCCAGACAUCUCUAGACUCUGCAUUUGGUGCAAAUGUCUUUGACUCAAAAACAUAUGCUGCAGUUUUGCUGAAGAGGUAGGUGUAUUUUUAUAAUGGUUUGGUGCUGUUAUUGUAAAAGGAAGCUUUUUUUUGAGUCCUUCUCUCAACAUGUCAUAGAGUAUCCAGCCAGCAUCCUGAGCCAUGUUUGACUGGAGAGACUCAAGAGAAUUUUGGGCUUCUCCCCCUCUCCAGCUUCCUUUCCUCUCUGCAGAGCCAGGUACUUUGGAAAUACUGACAUGACCAUGAGGUCAGCAAGAGGCUCCUCCUCCCCUGCCACGAGCUCCCACUGCAGCCUGAGCAUCCCUGCCUGUGGACCACCUCCACCACCAGACAGCAGCCCCAAAGAGCCUCACCUGAUCUCCUCAAUCGGUCUCUGGGGGCAAUAGGCCCCGGCACCUCAGGAAGAAGUGAUUUCACAGCUCCUGCCUGGCUGCCAUGCCAGCCCUGCCUCUCCUGCCAUGGGACUGCCAGCCUGGGGAGCACUUUUCACCCUCACUGACAUCACUGCUCUGCUGAGCACCCAGCCACCUCCUCCUCCCCUCCCUUCUCACUUGGCAUGCUGUCAUCCAAACUCACUGGGGAGCUUCAGGAUUUUUUAUUCUCUGGUGGGAAGUUUCAUUUUACCCUUUCAAGUGGGACAAGAACAGAUAUUAGAUUUGUUGACGAUGAAGUUCUUUCAACUGAAUUCAACAAAAGAGGUACAAUGAAAAGAUUGCAGCUGUUGAACAAAACACCACACCUAUUACAGAGUUCAUAUGCAUUUACAAGGGACACAUCAGUGAAGGCUCUCCUCACUCUUGAAGAUGUACCCUCCCUCCACAGAAAACUUGUUAAUCUCUCCCUCAUCUCUGCUUGCAGUACAUGCCCUUGGGAGAACGAGGUGUUUGACUGUCUUGCCAGAUCUUGCAAUGAUAUAACUGCUAUUAGCAGUCCUAGAUUAUCUUCAACAUCUUGAGAGCUGUUACAAAAUUCAGAUGAAGAGUGCAGAACUCACCCUCUAGGUGCAAAGCCACAGGUCCCCUGCUCCCAGGACAUUAGAGAUGCCUUUCUCACCUUGCUGGAUUCCACAUGCAGAGCUCCAGGUGCACCACUGAGGCUCUGAGUUUGAGUUUCAGAGCACUUCUGUGGACAAGUGGAGUCAUUCAGCAAAGCCUGCAGCAAAACCGUGGAAAUUUUUCAUUGACUUCUGCACAACUCAGCAUUUGCUUUGCACUAAUGAAUGAAGUAAAUGUUCAGCUGAUUACUUCAUGCAGCUUCUACUCCCAGUAUUAAACCAUUGCUUCAUUCUCUAUUCCUGUGCCCUUACCAAAUAGUAGUAGAUUAUUUUGUGGGAUAACCUCAUUUUCCUUCCUUUCUUCCGGUGCCUUUCUAAGGCAGACCUGGAGCUGGCAGAAAAAAAAGGCACAACCAAUGAGCUAGACCUCAUUAGAGCAUAAAGGGAUUUUAGACUCCUUCCUCAUCCCAAGUGGCUUUAGCAGUUUCCUUUUAUUCUUUAACAUUGUAUUAUUUACACAGCUGCUCCACUAACUUUUUCUUGUUAUAUACUUAUUUGUUUCUUCCUAUUUUUUAAAAUUCUAAAUUUCUCUCUUUAGGUUUUAGAAAAGCAUCAAUUUAUUUUUACUGCUUCAAAAAAUUAUUUGCUUGUAAUUAAACCUGUAAAUCUAACAGUG
Haemorhous mexicanus (house finch) is the source of this 2660-nucleotide long non-coding RNA. RefSeq lists it as uncharacterized. Lineage: Eukaryota; Metazoa; Chordata; Aves; Passeriformes; Fringillidae. The transcript is spliced from 3 exons. The record is from RefSeq and is a predicted model, not a curated record.